GUGGUACUCCUUCCGUCCAACAAAAGAUGUCUCAAGUUUGUCAAAAUUUAGGUGUAUCUAUACAUGACUUGAUGUAUAAAUGCAUUCAAAUUUAGUCAAAGUUGAGACAUCCUUUGCUGGACGGAGAAAGUACAAU
Non-coding RNA from Brachypodium distachyon (stiff brome), 136 nucleotides. Lineage: Eukaryota; Viridiplantae; Streptophyta; Magnoliopsida; Poales; Poaceae. The record is from Rfam.